This 784-nucleotide ribosomal RNA is filed under the name Umbilicaria maculata. RNAcentral describes it as "eukaryotic LSU rRNA". It matches the Rfam family "Eukaryotic large subunit ribosomal RNA", at positions 86 to 887 of the family's 3401-position model. Lineage: Eukaryota; Fungi; Ascomycota; Lecanoromycetes; Umbilicariales; Umbilicariaceae. The record is from RNAcentral.
ACGGCGAGUGAAGCGGCAACAGCUCAAAUUUGAAAUCUGGCCGUUCGGCGGUCCGAGUUGUAAUUUGUAGAAGAUGCUUCGGGUGCGGCGCCGGUCUAAGUUCCUUGGAACAGGACGUCAUAGAGGGUGAGAAUCCCGUAUGUGACCGGUGACCCAGCCCGUGUGAAGCUCCUUCGACGAGUCGAGUUGUUUGGGAAUGCAGCUCUAAAUGGGUGGUAAAUUUCAUCUAAAGCUAAAUACCGGCCAGAGACCGAUAGCGCACAAGUAGAGUGAUCGAAAGAUGAAAAGCACUUUGGAAAGAGAGUUAAAAAGUACGUGAAAUUGUUGAAAGGGAAGCGCUUGCGACCAGACUCGCUCGCGGGCGAUCAGCCGUCCUUUUGGGCGGUGCACUCGCCCGUGAUCGGGCCAGCAUCGGUUCAGGCGGCUGGAUAACGGCCCCGGGAAUGUGGCUCCCCUCGGGGAGUGUUAUAGCCCGGGGCGCAAUGCGGCCCGCCGGGACCGAGGACCGCGCUUCGGCUAGGAUGCUGGCGUAAUGGUCGUAAGCGACCCGUCUUGAAACACGGACCAAGGAGUCUAACAUCUGUGCGAGUGUUUGGGUGUCAAACCCAUGCGCGGAAUGAAAGUGAACGGAGGUGGGAACCCUUCAGGGUGCACCAUCGACCGAUCCUGAUGUCUUCGGAUGGGAUUUGAGUAAGAGCAUAGCUGUUGGGACCCGAAAGAUGGUGAACUAUGCCUGAAUAGGGUGAAGCCAGAAGAAACUCUGGUGGAGGCUCGCAGCGGUUCU